GGGAUUAAUGAAGCAGUGUGCAACUGUGUUGAAGAAUUGCAAGCAAGGUGCAAAACAGAAGAUGCGUUUAAGGUAUUGUCACAUUGUGUUUUAGCUAUUGUUACAAGAAGUUUUGGAUUUGAAAUUUUAG
This is a long non-coding RNA of Thalassophryne amazonica, 130 nucleotides long. RefSeq lists it as uncharacterized. NCBI's taxonomy places the organism in Eukaryota, Metazoa, Chordata, Actinopteri, Batrachoidiformes, Batrachoididae. The transcript is spliced from 3 exons. The record is from RefSeq and is a predicted model, not a curated record.